GAUGAAGAACGCAGCGAAAUGCGAUAAGUAGUGUGAAUUGCAGAAUUCAGUGAAUCAUCGAAUCUUUGAACGCACAUUGCGCCCCUUGGUAUUCCAUGGGGCAUGCCUGUUCGAGCGUCAUUUGUACCUUCAAGCUCUGCUUGGUGUUGGGUGUUUGUCUCGCCUCUGCGUGUAGACUCGCCUCAAAACAAUUGGCAGCCGGCGUAUUGAUUUCGGAGCGCAGUACAUCUCGCGCUUUGCACUCAUGACGACGACGUCCAAAAGUACAUUUUUACACUCUUGACCUCGGAUCAGGUAGGGAUACCCGCUGAACUUAAGCAUAUCAAUAAGCGGAGGA
This 337-nucleotide unclassified non-coding RNA is filed under the name soil metagenome. Its description in RNAcentral is "partial contains 5.8S ribosomal RNA, internal transcribed spacer 2, and large subunit ribosomal RNA". The stretch from base 1 to 120 matches the Rfam family "5.8S ribosomal RNA", at positions 35 to 154 of the family's 154-position model. The record is from RNAcentral.